Molecule: small nuclear RNA, 22 nt
Filed under: Arabidopsis thaliana (thale cress)
Lineage: Eukaryota; Viridiplantae; Streptophyta; Magnoliopsida; Brassicales; Brassicaceae
Description: snRNA_07249
Source: RNAcentral
AAAGGAGUUGUCGUUAGGUGGU